RNAcentral lists this ribosomal RNA (191 nucleotides) under uncultured bacterium. RNAcentral's name for it is "partial 16S ribosomal RNA". It matches the Rfam family "Bacterial small subunit ribosomal RNA", at positions 328 to 538 of the family's 1533-position model. The record is from RNAcentral.
ACGCUCGACACCUACGGGAGCAGCAGUGGGGAAUAUUGCACAAUGGGGGAAACCCUGAUGCAGCGACGCCGCGUGGAGGAAGAAGGUCUUCGGAUUGUAAACUCCUGUUGUUGGGGAAAAAGAGGAUGGUACCCAACAAGGAAGUGACGGCUAACUACGUGCCGANNCGCGAGUAUNGNGGCGNGNGAGAG